Molecule: ribosomal RNA, 440 nt
Filed under: uncultured bacterium
Lineage: Bacteria
Description: partial 16S ribosomal RNA
Rfam family: Bacterial small subunit ribosomal RNA
Source: RNAcentral
CCUACGGGUGGCAGCAGUGGGGAAUAUUGCACAAUGGGGGAAACCCUGAUGCAGCGACGCCGCGUGAGUGAAGAAGUAUUUCGGUAUGUAAAGCUCUAUCAGCAGGGAAGAAAAUGACGGUACCUGACUAAGAAGCCCCGGCUAACUACGUGCCAGCAGCCGCGGUAAUACGUAGGGGGCAAGCGUUAUCCGGAUUUACUGGGUGUAAAGGGAGCGUAGACGGCCAGACAAGUCAGAAGUGAAAGCCCAGGGCCCAACCCCGGGACUGCUCUUGGAACUGCGUGGCUGGAGUGCAGGAGGGGCAGGCGGAAUUCCUGGUGUAGCGGUGAAAUGCGUAGAUAUCAGGAGGAACACCGGUGGCGAAGGCGGCCUGCUGGACUGCAACUGACGUUGAGGCCCGAAAGCGUGGGGAGCAAACAGGAUUAGAUACCCGGGUAGUC